RNAcentral lists this ribosomal RNA (487 nucleotides) under uncultured bacterium. Its description in RNAcentral is "bacterial SSU rRNA". It matches the Rfam family "Bacterial small subunit ribosomal RNA", at positions 15 to 518 of the family's 1533-position model. The record is from RNAcentral.
GAUUAUGGCUCAGGACGAACGCUGGCGGCGUGCUUAACACAUGCAAGUCGAGCGAUGAAGCUCCUUCGGGAGUGGAUUAGCGGCGGACGGGUGAGUAACACGUGGGUAACCUGCCUCAUAGAGGGGAAUAGCCUUUCGAAAGGAAGAUUAAUACCGCAUAAGAUUGUAGUACCGCAUGGUACAGCAAUUAAAGGAGUAAUCCGCUAUGAGAUGGACCCGCGUCGCAUUAGCUAGUUGGUGAGGUAACGGCUCACCAAGGCGACGAUGCGUAGCCGACCUGAGAGGGUGAUCGGCCACAUUGGGACUGAGACACGGCCCAGACUCCUACGGGAGGCAGCAGUGGGGAAUAUUGCACAAUGGGGGAAACCCUGAUGCAGCCAACGCCGCGUGAGUGAUGACGGUCUUCGGAUUGUAAAGCUCUGUCUUUAGGGACGAUAAUGACGGUACCUAAGGAGGAAGCCACGGCUAACUACGUGCCAGCAGCAGC